UUUUGUUUGUUUACAAUUCACAUUUUAUAACACAGUGCUCUUCUGUUACAGACAAUGUCAAAGUUGGUGUUUACUCCUUGUUCACUGGCAGCUGUGAGCCAGGAUGCAGCAAUGCCAACUCCCAUCCUGUGAAAAGCAGUGGAAGCAUUUUCACUGCUUGGUUGCUGAGUCUGGUUCCAAUAGUAAGAAAACUAUGACUAAGAAAAACUAA
RNAcentral lists this long non-coding RNA (211 nucleotides) under Fukomys damarensis (Damara mole-rat). RNAcentral describes it as "lncRNA (ENSFDAG00000025202.1)". The record is from RNAcentral. Lineage: Eukaryota; Metazoa; Chordata; Mammalia; Rodentia; Bathyergidae.